This 44-nucleotide transfer RNA is filed under the name Ornithogalum cuspidatum. RNAcentral describes it as "partial tRNA-Leu". The record is from RNAcentral. Lineage: Eukaryota; Viridiplantae; Streptophyta; Magnoliopsida; Asparagales; Asparagaceae.
AAAAUCCGUCGACUUUAGAAAUCGUGAGGGUUCAAGUCCCUCUA